Molecule: ribosomal RNA, 506 nt
Filed under: uncultured bacterium
Lineage: Bacteria
Description: partial 16S ribosomal RNA
Rfam family: Bacterial small subunit ribosomal RNA
Source: RNAcentral
GACGAACGCUGGCGGCGUGCCUUACACAUGCAAGUCGAACGGCAGCAUGGAAGAGCUUGCUCUUCUGAUGGCGAGUGGCGAACGGGUGAGUAAAGCAUCGGAACGUACCGUGUAAUGGGGGAUAACGUAGCGAAAGUUACGCUAAUACCGCAUACGACCUGAGGGUGAAAGCAGGGGAUCGCAAGACCUUGCGUUAUACGAGCGGCCGAUGUCAGAUUAGCUAGUUGGUGAGGUAAAGGCUCACCAAGGCGACGAUCUGUAGCGGGUCUGAGAGGAUGAUCCGCCCCACUGGGACUGAGACACGGCCCAGACUCCUACGGGAGGCAGCAGUGGGGAAUUGUGGACAAUGGGGGCAACCCUGAUCCAGCCAUGCCGCGUGAGUGAAGAAGGCCUUCGGGUUGUAAAGCUCUUUCGGCCGGGAAGAAAUCGCACAGGCUAAUACUCUGUGUGGAUGACGGUACCGGCAUAAGAAGCACCGGCUAACUACGUGCCAGCCGCCGCGGUAA